AUUGAACGCUGGCGGCAUGCCUUACACAUGCAAGUCGAACGGUAACGGGCCUUCGGGUGCCGACGAGUGGAGAACGGGUGAGUAAUACAUCGGAACGUGCCCGAUCGUGGGGGAUAACGAGGCGAAAGCUUUGCUAAUACCGCAUACGAUCUACGGAUGAAAGCAGGGGACCGCAAGGCCUUGCGCGGACGGAGCGGCCGAUGGCAGAUUAGGUAGUUGGUGGGAUAAAAGCUUACCAAGCCGACGAUCUGUAGCUGGUCUGAGAGGAUGAUCAGCCACACUGGGACUGAGACACGGCCCAGACUCCUACGGGAGGCAGCAGUGGGGAAUUUUAGACAAUGGGCGCAAGCCUGAUCCAGCCAUGCCGCGUGCAGGAUGAAGGCCUUCGGGUUGUAAACUGCUUUUGUACGGAACGAAAAGCCUUCUUUUAAUACAGGAGGGUCAUGACGGUACCGUAAGAAUAAGCACCGGCUAACUACGUG
Molecule: ribosomal RNA, 482 nt
Filed under: uncultured bacterium
Lineage: Bacteria
Description: partial 16S ribosomal RNA
Rfam family: Bacterial small subunit ribosomal RNA
Source: RNAcentral